This 300-nucleotide ribosomal RNA is filed under the name uncultured Bacillus sp. Its description in RNAcentral is "bacterial SSU rRNA". It matches the Rfam family "Bacterial small subunit ribosomal RNA", at positions 496 to 795 of the family's 1533-position model. Lineage: Bacteria; Bacillati; Bacillota; Bacilli; Caryophanales; Bacillaceae. The record is from RNAcentral.
GCUAACUACGUGCCAGCAGCCGCGGUAAUACGUAGGUGGCAAGCGUUGUCCGGAUUUAUUGGGCGUAAAGCGCGCGCAGGCGGUCUUUUAAGUCUGAUGUGAAAUCUUACAGCUUAACUGUAAGCGGUCAUUGGAAACUGGGAGACUUGAGUGCAGAAGAGGAGAGUGGAAUUCCAUGUGUAGCGGUGAAAUGCGUAGAGAUAUGGAGGAACACCAGUGGCGAAGGCGACUCUCUGGUCUGUAACUGACGCUGAGGCGCGAAAGCGUGGGGAUCAAACAGGAUUAGAUACCCGGGUAGUC